GAUGAACGCUGGCGGCGUGCCUAAUACAUGCAAGUCGAGCGAACAGAUGAGGAGCUUGCUCCUCUGACGUUAGCGGCGGACGGGUGAGUAACACGUGGAUAACCUACCUAUAAGACUGGGAUAACUUCGGGAAACCGGAGCUAAUACCGGAUAAUAUAUUGAACCGCAUGGUUCAAUAGUGAAAGACGGUUUUGCUGUCACUUAUAGAUGGAUCCGCGCCGCAUUAGCUAGUUGGUAAGGUAACGGCUUACCAAGGCAACGAUGUGUAGCCGACCUGAGAGGGUGAUCGGCCACACUGGAACUGAGACACGGUUCAGACUCCUACGGGAGGCAGCAGUAGGGAAUCUUCCGCAAUGGGCGAAAGCCUGACGGAGCAACGCCGCGUGAGUGAUGAAGGUCUUCGGAUCGUAAAACUCUGUUAUUAGGGAAGAACAAAUGUGUAAGUAACUAUGCACGUCUUGACGGUACCUAAUCAGAAAGCCACGGCUAACUACGUG
RNAcentral lists this ribosomal RNA (497 nucleotides) under uncultured bacterium. RNAcentral's name for it is "partial 16S ribosomal RNA". It matches the Rfam family "Bacterial small subunit ribosomal RNA", at positions 28 to 507 of the family's 1533-position model. The record is from RNAcentral.